This 550-nucleotide ribosomal RNA is filed under the name uncultured bacterium. RNAcentral's name for it is "bacterial SSU rRNA". It matches the Rfam family "Bacterial small subunit ribosomal RNA", at positions 355 to 896 of the family's 1533-position model. The record is from RNAcentral.
UAGGGAAUCUUCCGCAAUGGACGCAAGUCUGACGGAGCAACGCCGCGUGAGUGAAGAAGGUUUUCGGACCGUAAAACUCUGUUGUUAGAGAAGAACAAGUGCUAGAGUAACUGUUAGCGCCUUGACGGUAUCUAACCAGAAAGCCACGGCUAACUACGUGCCAGCAGCCGCGGUAAUACGUAGGUGGCAAGCGUUGUCCGGAUUUAUUGGGCGUAAAGCGAGCGCAGGCGGUUCCUUAAGUCUGAUGUGAAAGCCCCCGGCUCAACCGGGGAGGGUCAUUGGAAACUGGGGAACUUGAGUGCAGAAGAGGAGAGUGGAAUUCCAUGUGUAGCGGUGAAAUGCGUAGAUAUAUGGAGGAACACCAGUGGCGAAGGCGACUCUCUGGUCUGUAACUGACGCUGAGGCUCGAAAGCGUGGGUAGCAAACAGGAUUAGAUACCCUGGUAGUCCACGCCGUAAACGAUGAGUGCUAAGUGUUGGAGGGUUUCCGCCCUUCAGUGCUGCAGUUAACGCAUUAAGCACUCCGCCUGGGGAGUACGACCGCAAGGUUG